CCAAUAUUUUACAAGGAAAUAUGCAUUUAUUGUUUUCUUUGUCUAAGCAGUGCUGGAAGGUCUUCAAAAAAGAAAUAACAAGCUCCUAACAAACAGUUAAAAAAUGUUCAACUAAAUUUAAAAAAAAAACACAGGCCAACUAGACUUAAAUAAGAUAAUCAAGGUUUGAAUGGCAAAUUAAAACAUAUACAUACUACAUACAGCACAAUAGCUUAGAAACUGUAGCUCUUAUGGUUCUAGGGACCUUUCUUAUAUCUAUUUGCAGACCAUAGUCCGCAAAAACGCAUCCCAAGGACUAAACAAGCUAUGUUUCUGCAGCUAACCACAAACAGACAACACUGACAAACAAAAUCUUACACAAUACAAAUGAACUUUUUUGAAACUAGAGAAAUAACAG
RNAcentral lists this long non-coding RNA (397 nucleotides) under Mytilus galloprovincialis (Mediterranean mussel). Lineage: Eukaryota; Metazoa; Mollusca; Bivalvia; Mytilida; Mytilidae. The record is from RNAcentral.